CGAGAGAGUGCGGGAGGCUGCCUCUUGCCUGCAACAUGAGAACCAGGUGCUGCUGCUUCUGUAUCUGUGUGUUUAUGUGUGCAGUAAUGCUAAACAAAGUGUGUCUGCAGGUCACUGUUGAGGGUAAAGUUGGAAGCUCUGCUGUCUUGCCCUGUUCUUCUAUUGACAAUGGCCUUAAAAAUGAAGAUAUAACGGUUUAUUGGAGACAUAAUAGCAGCCAAAUUGUUUAUGACAUAAUU
Molecule: long non-coding RNA, 239 nt
Organism: Cyprinus carpio (common carp)
Lineage: Eukaryota; Metazoa; Chordata; Actinopteri; Cypriniformes; Cyprinidae
Exons: 3
Source: RefSeq, a predicted model, not a curated record